GAUGAAGAACGCAGCGAAAUGCGAUAAGUAAUGUGAAUUGCAGAAUUCAGUGAAUCAUCGAAUCUUUGAACGCACAUUGCGCCCGUCAGUAUUCUGGCGGGCAUGCCUGUUCGAGCGUCAUUACGCCCCUCAAGUCCCCUGUGGACUUGGUGUUGGGGAUCGGCGAGGCUGGUUUUCCAGCACAGCCGUCCCUUAAAUUAAUUGGCGGUCUCGCCGUGGCCCUCCUCUGCGCAGUAGUAAAACACUCGCAACAGGAGCCCGGCGCGGUCCACUGCCGUAAAACCCCCCAACUUUUUAUAGUUGACCUCGAAUCAGGUAGGACUACCCGCUGAACUUAAGAAUAUCAAUAAGCGGAGGA
Molecule: unclassified non-coding RNA, 358 nt
Filed under: soil metagenome
Description: partial contains 5.8S ribosomal RNA, internal transcribed spacer 2, and large subunit ribosomal RNA
Rfam family: 5.8S ribosomal RNA (bases 1-120)
Source: RNAcentral